This 259-nucleotide ribosomal RNA is filed under the name uncultured bacterium. Its description in RNAcentral is "partial 16S ribosomal RNA". It matches the Rfam family "Bacterial small subunit ribosomal RNA", at positions 333 to 584 of the family's 1533-position model. The record is from RNAcentral.
AUUCUCCUACGGGAGGCAGCAGUAGGGAAUCUUCCACAAUGGGCGAAAGCCUGAUGGAGCAACGCCGCGUGGGUGAAGAAGGUCUUCGGAUCGUAAAACCCUGUUGUUAGAGAAGAAAGUGCGUGAGAGUAACUGUUCACGUCUCGACGGUAUCUAGCCAGAAAGCCACGGUUAACUACGUGCCAGCAGCCGCGGUAAUACGUAGGUGGCAAGCGUUAUCCGGAUUUAUUGGGCGUAAAGGGAACGCAGGCGGCCUUUU